RNAcentral lists this ribosomal RNA (509 nucleotides) under Candida albicans. Its description in RNAcentral is "eukaryotic LSU rRNA". The stretch from base 142 to 295 matches the Rfam family "5.8S ribosomal RNA". Lineage: Eukaryota; Fungi; Ascomycota; Pichiomycetes; Serinales; Debaryomycetaceae. The record is from RNAcentral.
AUAUGAAUUGCUUAAUUGCACCACAUGUGUUUUUCUUUGAAACAAACUUGCUUUGGCGGUGGGCCCAGCCUGCCGCCAGAGGUCUAAACUUACAACCAAUUUUUUAUCAACUUGUCACACCAGAUUAUUACUAAUAGUCAAAACUUUCAACAACGGAUCUCUUGGUUCUCGCAUCGAUGAAGAACGCAGCGAAAUGCGAUACGUAAUAUGAAUUGCAGAUAUUCGUGAAUCAUCGAAUCUUUGAACGCACAUUGCGCCCUCUGGUAUUCCGGAGGGCAUGCCUGUUUGAGCGUCGUUUCUCCCUCAAACCGCUGGGUUUGGUGUUGAGCAAUACGACUUGGGUUUGCUUGAAAGACGGUAGUGGUAAGGCGGGAUCGCUUUGACAAUGGCUUAGGUCUAACCAAAAACAUUGCUUGCGGCGGUAACGUCUACCACGUAUAUCUUCAAACUUUGACCUCAAAUCAGGUAGGACUACCCGCUGAACUUAAGCAUAUCAAUAAGCGGAGGAA